RNAcentral lists this ribosomal RNA (531 nucleotides) under Coenagriocnemis rufipes. Its description in RNAcentral is "partial 16S ribosomal RNA". It matches the Rfam family "Bacterial large subunit ribosomal RNA", at positions 1830 to 2619 of the family's 2925-position model. Lineage: Eukaryota; Metazoa; Arthropoda; Insecta; Odonata; Coenagrionidae. The record is from RNAcentral.
GUCCUAUUGUUUUAUUUAAUAGGUUUGGCCUGCCCAGUGAUAAUUUUAACGGCCGCGGUAUUUUGACCGUGCAAAGGUAGCAUAAUCAUUAGUCUUUUAAUAGGAGGCUGGAAUGAAAGGUUUAACGAGAAAUUGACUGUCUCAAUUACAAAUUUGAAUUUAUCUUUUGAGUCAAAAGGCUCAAAUAUUGUUGAUGGACGAGAAGACCCUAUAGAGCUUUACAUUUUUCUUUCUAAUAGUAAUUAGUUAAAUUAUUUAUUUUUAUUAAGGUUUAUGUUUUGUUGGGGUGACAAUAAAUAUAUACAUAACUUUUAUUAUUUUACUUACAUUAAUUUAUGGGUUAUUGGAUCCAAAAUUUUUGAUCAAUAGUUUAAGUUACCUUAGGGAUAACAGCGUUAUCUUCCUCCAGAGUUCAUAUUUACGGGAAGGGUUGCGACCUCGAUGUUGGAUUAAGAUAAUAAUUAGGUGCAGUAGCUUGAUUAAUAGGUCUGUUCGACCUUUAAACUCUUACAUGAUCUGAGUUCAGACCGG